This 445-nucleotide ribosomal RNA is filed under the name uncultured bacterium. RNAcentral describes it as "bacterial SSU rRNA". It matches the Rfam family "Bacterial small subunit ribosomal RNA", at positions 29 to 518 of the family's 1533-position model. The record is from RNAcentral.
AGCGAACGCUGGCGGCAGGCUUAACACAUGCAAGUCGAACGGUCCUUUCGGGGACAGUGGCGGACGGGUGAGUAACACGUGGGAAUGUGCCUUUAGGUUCGGAAUAACUCAGGGAAACUUGAGCUAAUACCGGAUGUGCCCGUAAGGGGAAAGAUUUAUUGCCUUUAGAGCAGCCCGCGUCUGAUUAGCUAGUUGGUGAGGUAAAGGCUCACCAAGGCGACGAUCAGUAGCUGGUCGAGAGGAUGGCCAGCCACACUGGGACUGAGACACGGCCCAGACUCCUACGGGAGGCAGCAGUGGGGAAUCUUGCGCAAAUGGGCGAAAGCCUGACGCAGCCAUGCCGCGUGGAUGAUGAAGGUCUUAGGAUUGUAAAAUCCUUUCACCGGGGACGAUAAUGACGGUACCCGGAGAAGAAGCCCCCGGCUAACUUCGUGCCAGCCGCCGC